RNAcentral lists this ribosomal RNA (823 nucleotides) under uncultured bacterium. Its description in RNAcentral is "bacterial SSU rRNA". It matches the Rfam family "Bacterial small subunit ribosomal RNA", at positions 8 to 822 of the family's 1533-position model. The record is from RNAcentral.
AGAGUUUGAUCAUGGCUCAGGACGAACGCUGGCGGCGUGGAUUAGGCAUGCAAGUCGAACGGUAUCAUCCUUUCGGGGGUGAGAGAGUGGCGAACUGGUGAGUAACACGUAGGUUAUCUACCCUCAAGACGGGGACAACCCAGGGAAACUUGGGCUAAUACCGGAUGUGAGCAACUUUUUAGUUGUUUGAAAGGUGGCGUAAGCUGUCGCUUGGGGAUGAGCCUGCGUCCUAUUAGUUAGUUGGUGAGGUAACGGCUCACCUAGGCAAUGAUAGGUAGGCGGCCUUAACGGGUGGUCGCCCACACUGGGAUUGAGAUACGGCCCAGACUCCUACGGGAGGCAGCAGUCGAGAAUAGUCUACAAUGGUCGGAAGACUGAUAGUGCGACGCCGCGUGAACGAUGAAUCCCUUCGGGGUGUAAAGUUCUUUUAUAUGUGAGCAGUGCUUCUUAUAUUAAGAGUAUGGGGAGAGAGAUAUUAGCAUAUGAAUAAGCAACGGCUAACUCCGUGCCAGCAGCCGCGGUAACACGGGGGUUGCGAGCGUUGUCCGGAAUUACUAGGCGUAAAGGGCAGGCAGGCGGAUCCAUAAGUUUAUCGUUUAAGGCGUCGGCUUAACCGGCGUAGGGCGGUAGAUACUGUGGAUCUGGAAUGCGGUUGGGGAAGACAGAAUUCCUGGUGUAGCGGUGGAAUGCGCAGAGAUCAGGAGGAAUACCGAAGGCGAAGGCAGUCUUCCAAGCCGUUAUUGACGCUCAACUGCGAAGGUGUGGGUAUCAAACAGGAUUAGAUACCCUGGUAGUCCACACAGUAAACGAUAAUCACUGGGUG